This 457-nucleotide transfer RNA is filed under the name gamma proteobacterium ectosymbiont of Leptonemella vicina. Its description in RNAcentral is "16S-23S ribosomal RNA intergenic spacer". The stretch from base 118 to 191 matches the Rfam family "tRNA". Lineage: Bacteria; Pseudomonadati; Pseudomonadota; Gammaproteobacteria. The record is from RNAcentral.
GCCGUAGGGGAACCUGCGGCUGGAUCACCUCCUUAAAACCGACGAGUCGCAUCGACGCGUCGGAGCACCCACACAAGUUAUCCAAAUAAGGGGUCUACGGGCCCGCUUAGACGAAUUGGGUCUGUAGCUCAGUUGGUUAGAGCGCACCCCUGAUAAGGGUGAGGUCGCUGGUUCAACUCCAGCCAGACCCACCACUUGAAUUCACGGAGUGAAGACAGGGGGCCAUAGCUCAGCUGGGAGAGCGCCUGCUUUGCACGCAGGAGGUCGGGAGUUCGAUCCUCCCUGGCUCCACCAAUGCUACUAAGUAGAGGACGCAUGAAUCCAAGCGCUCAAGGCGUUGAAAGAGCCUUGAGCGCUUUGUAGUGAAGCUCUUUAACAAUCAGGUUAGAUCGCGGAAGGCACCAAGCCGGACAAGAGUUCGGCUGGAUGCGUUACAAGCGUCAGUGUAUAGCCCCAG